RNAcentral lists this ribosomal RNA (442 nucleotides) under uncultured bacterium. RNAcentral's name for it is "bacterial SSU rRNA". It matches the Rfam family "Bacterial small subunit ribosomal RNA", at positions 343 to 797 of the family's 1533-position model. The record is from RNAcentral.
UGGAGGCAGCAGUGGGGAAUAUUGCACAAUGGGCGAAAGCCUGAUGCAGCGACGCCGCGUGAGGGAUGACGGCCUUCGGGUUGUAAACCUCUUUCAGCAGGGAAGAAGCGAAAGUGACGGUACCUGCAGAAGAAGCACCGGCUAACUACGUGCCAGCAGCCGCGGUAAUACGUAGGGUGCGAGCGUUGUCCGGAAUUAUUGGGCGUAAAGGGCUUGUAGGCGGUUUGUCGCGUCUGCUGUGAAAAUCCGAGGCUCAACCUCGGACUUGCAGUGGGUACGGGCAGACUAGAGUGUGGUAGGGGAGACUGGAAUUCCUGGUGUAGCGGUGAAAUGCGCAGAUAUCAGGAGGAACACCGAUGGCGAAGGCAGGUCUCUGGGCCACUACUGACGCUGAGAAGCGAAAGCAUGGGGAGCGAACAGGAUUAGAUACCCGGGUAGUCCA